AGGUGGUGCAUGGUUGUCGUCAGCUCGUGUCGUGAGAUGUUGGGUUAAGUCCCGCAACGAGCGCAACCCUCGACCUUAGUUGCCAGCAUUCAGUUGGGCACUCUAAGGUGACUGCCGGCUAAAAGUACGGAGGAAGGUGGGGAUGACGUCAAAUCAUCAUGCCCCUUAUGACCUGGGCUACACACGUGCUACAAUGGGCGGUACAAAGGGUCGCGAACCCGCGAGGGGGAGCCAAUCCCAAAAGCCGCUCUCAGUUCGGAUUGCAGGCUGCAACUCGCCUGCAUGAAGCCGGAAUCGCUAGUAAUCGCGGAUCAGCAUGCCGCGGUGAAUACGUUCCCGGGCCUU
RNAcentral lists this ribosomal RNA (345 nucleotides) under uncultured Anoxybacillus sp. Its description in RNAcentral is "bacterial SSU rRNA". It matches the Rfam family "Bacterial small subunit ribosomal RNA", at positions 1036 to 1382 of the family's 1533-position model. Lineage: Bacteria; Bacillati; Bacillota; Bacilli; Caryophanales; Anoxybacillaceae. The record is from RNAcentral.